GUUUCUGUAGUGUAGUGGUCAUCACGUUUGCCUAACACGCAAAAGGUCCUUUCGGUUCAAAACCGAGCAGAAACA
Non-coding RNA from Megalops atlanticus (tarpon), 75 nucleotides. Lineage: Eukaryota; Metazoa; Chordata; Actinopteri; Elopiformes; Megalopidae. The record is from the annotation of a GenBank genome assembly.